AUAUUUAUAUAAUACACGAAGCACAUCUGCAAAACUUGAGAAUAACGCAGGAUCAUUCUAAUACUUACAAAGCAUUCUGGGCUAUAAUAAAAUGCAAUUUUCGUAGAAGAAAGCAACCGUAUCUUUCAAGGACGAAUGAAGUUAUGUAGGAAGUCUGUGGUAGUUUAAUAGAACAUUGUUGGGAUCAGUCAAUCAUUGCUUCCGUUUAAGGAUAGAUAUAAAAUUUGAGUCAUUUUCUAUGGACACAAGGAAAAA
Molecule: long non-coding RNA, 255 nt
Organism: Sitophilus oryzae (rice weevil)
Lineage: Eukaryota; Metazoa; Arthropoda; Insecta; Coleoptera; Curculionidae
Exons: 3
Source: RefSeq, a predicted model, not a curated record